This 294-nucleotide long non-coding RNA is filed under the name Citrus x clementina. RNAcentral describes it as "Citrus clementina (C. clementina) long non-coding RNA (CCLE_LNC000411)". Lineage: Eukaryota; Viridiplantae; Streptophyta; Magnoliopsida; Sapindales; Rutaceae. The record is from RNAcentral.
UUUUUAUCAUCAGGGGUACUAUUAUUCAUAAGACGUGGAGGAGAAUCAAUCCUUAAUGCAAAGUUAAGAUCCAUGACUACGAGAACUAUUAAGAGGUUCUCUUACCAUGAUUUGAAGUUAGAUUCAUUUAGCAUAGGAAUAGAAUUGAUGUUGACAGUAAUAUUAGUAGCAGAGAAACUGAACAGAGAGCAACAAACAAACAAAACAAGCUCAUAUUAGCAUAAAACAAAAUAAAUUCAAAUAAAGGUAAACCUCAUCUCAAGAUAUCAGACACUCCAUUAAUAUUCUAUCUUU